CUCCUUCCUUCCUGGCUUCUGUCAGUCCAGGUCUGUGUGGAAAGUUGGGAAGGGGCAUGGCCCUUGAGGACCAGUUUACCCCAUCUUCCUCGUGGAUUCAGUCUUCCUCCUGGACUCUGAGGCUAAAAGGGACACACAGGACUGACUCAAGGUCCACUGCACCCUGUCUUCUCCCUGGAAGUCAGCAGAAGCAAUUCCAGCUGAGAUAGGGGCGUGGGUCAUACGGAAUGUAAAAUUGGACCAGGUUGAUAGGGACAAUGAGUCAGAAGCCAUCCGGGGGGACCUCACACUGAUGCUGGCCACCCACAGCUGUCAGUGUUCCUGAAAGCAGAUGCUGGACUCAUCACUCUGAAAACCCGCCUUGGAGGCCAAAGGAAAAAUGAGGAGGAGCCAGAAGACGGAGGCUCUUGUGAGUCCAUCAAGAAAUUUGGUUUGGACAUUUUUCAAGUAUUCUCUGUUCUGGCUUCUCCUGGUUCCCUGCCUGGGACUUGUAAUGCUAAUAACCUUUGCCUUUACUUCCCUUUACAUAUCUUUCCCGGUGACUUCCUGACUCUCUACACCUGGCUGUUAUACAGUGGAGCAGCUGGUGCACUUUGGGGGUCUUUUAAAGAAGUUCACUGGGGGCUGGAGAGACGGCUCAUAGUGUUUUCCCAGAAGACCCAGGUUUAAUUCUCAGACCCACAACCAUCUGAAGUUCCGGUCUCAGGGGACCUAACCGUCUUCUGAUUUCCAUGCAUACCAGGCAGGCACAAGGUGCACAUGCAGACAAAAUACUCACAUGCAUACAAUAAAUAAAUAGAAUUUUAAAGUUUAUAUUGUCCCACUGCAAGGGGUACUCCAACUGCUGUACCUGAUGCUCCCAUUCAGCUGGAAGAAACCAGAGUGUUUGUUCCCCAAUGCUAUCUGGCAGUUCUGACUACCUCCAUAGAGGUAGGGGGUGGCGAAAGCAGGAGGUAAGAUUUAGAUAGGCAGUCUAGGGUUAAAAGACUCCAAAGGAAAAUAACCAGCUUACCUCUUAGCCAGAAAUAUCCUUGGGCCUCUUGACAGCCUCAUUCUUGCCAGAAGCAGAGUUGCCAAAAGCAUUUGAAGGGCUCUGAUCUGGUUCCUAAAUGGCUCUACAAUUGCCUCUUUAGAGGGAGUAAAUACUAAUACAGCAGUGGGAGCCUAUAGAGAGAGGAUUUUCUGGUCAAGAGAAUAGAAUUUCUGGCCUGGAUGGAGACAUAACAUUCCAGUUGGGCCAGGUCAGCCAGCUGGUCCAGCCUCAUGAUGCACACUUUUUAUAAAAAGAAAUUAUCUUGUCAGGUUUUAAAAAAACAUAAACACAAAAUUGUGUCCCUCUGCUUUUUCAUGAAACAAUAGCACUUUGAGUUAGGGCAUCAAUAUUGUCAAACAGCAAAAACCAAUCAAUCCAAAGAACAACAGGAUGAAAAUAGUCUCAUGCAUCUGGCAAGACAUUUCUGUGGAAGGAAUCUUAUAUUUGUCGUAGCCAAUACGAAAUCUACAAGUCAUGCACAUACUUGAAGUGUGGCUGAAUUGAGGGUAUGAAUUUUUCAUAACCAAAGCAGUCAUGCAUGGCUAUUGGCUACUAAGCCAAGAGAUUACCUGGGAUAUUGCCCUAAUACUUGUCAAGAAGUUAAAGAUUGGCUAGGGGAAGAGGGACACUUUCAGUAAAUAGAUCUGAAACUUCUAGCUGGUUUUGGAGAUGGGUUUGGCACACCUACUGUGGGCAGGACUCCUAGGGGAGAAUUCAUAUGCUCUUCCAGCUUUCGGAGUAAAGGCCUGGAUGUUGGUCACUCUGGAAGAUGCCUAUAGUCACAAAAAGAGCUUGAGGUUGGGGCACCAUCUGUGUGCUGAUGUCACUGUUGAGGGUUACUUGUUUUAGAUCAGGUUUCCAGAACCAGAGUGGGGCUUGGACAGUUGAAAGCCUGGGCCCCUUCUGGCCAUCUGCAUGUUGCACCAGGCUUUUCCUUUGUAGAGGUUUAAGAAUGUGUUCUUGCUCUCAAACCCUUUGCCAGGAUCCAGCCUGUUCACAAAGGACUGGUCUCCUCUGUGAGCAGACUUGUGUUGUAGGUAAUGAUGGUUUACAAUACUAAACCAUUGCUUGCCCUGUGGUUUAAUGCCUUAGCUGGUCUAGUGCCAGAGGGUUGAGCCCAGGUGAGUGAUGAGCGGGCGAAAAUAGGCAAUACGGUGUCUGUGAGAAAAUGCCAGUAUAACACUGUCCAGGAACCAGAUCUCAGUUUCAUGAACUAAUCCCGAUUUCCUGUUUUUGUAAACGAAGGUAACAUUCCCACACUCAGUGCACAGAUUCAGCUCAAAUAUCCCAAGCUUCAAAGUAAUGCUGGUCCUCAUUGGUUUCAUGCGCUGAGAAAUGGGGCAUCUUUGUCAAGCUAACACCAACCAGAGUCAUCUGGGAGGAGGGAACCUUGCCUGAGGAACUGCUUCCAUCAGAGUUGCCAGUGGACAUGCCUGUAAGCCAUUUUCUUAAUUCUCAUUGAUGUAGGAGGGCCCAGUCCACUGUGGGCAGAGCCAUCCCUAGCCCAGGUGGGCUUGGGCUAUGUAAGAAAAGUGGCUGCGUAAGCAGAGGGAGCGAGAGCCGGUACACAAUGCUCUUCUGUGCUUCAGUUCCUGGCUCCAAGUUCCUGACUUUAGCUCCUACCCUGGCAUCUCUCAAUGACAGACCGUAACUGGAGAAGAAAUAUGUCAAAGAAAGCUGCAUCACCAAAGCCCACCCCAGCACGGGUGACAACUCACAAAGACUGGACACCUGGAGCGCACUGCACAGCCUGCAGCAGCUCAGCAGUUGGGAGAGUAUCCUUUCCAAGUGACUCGGUUGAUCUAAACCUCUUCUAGGCAGCGGUUCUGUUUUUAGAGUCUCCAUUGCAGCUUGGCUUCCAUCUGAAGGGACUCUGGGCUUUUCCUGCUUACUCUGGCAGAAAGGGGCCUGGUGAAGUGUGGGGACACCAGACCUUGUUCAGAAACCCACCCCUCCAUCAGCCUGGGAGCAGGCAGCUGCAAGAUAAUGUUUACUGAAAACAAUU
Molecule: long non-coding RNA, 3038 nt
Organism: Mesocricetus auratus (golden hamster)
Lineage: Eukaryota; Metazoa; Chordata; Mammalia; Rodentia; Cricetidae
Exons: 4
Source: RefSeq, a predicted model, not a curated record